This 672-nucleotide ribosomal RNA is filed under the name Triticum aestivum (bread wheat). RNAcentral describes it as "partial small subunit ribosomal RNA". Lineage: Eukaryota; Viridiplantae; Streptophyta; Magnoliopsida; Poales; Poaceae. The record is from RNAcentral.
AUGUACGCCGACAGGGUCUCCGGACGGAAGCGCUCCGUCAGGGACCGCCUCGGCUCGGGAGGCGGCGGUGGAGGCUCUCGCCCGCGGUCUGACUCAGCGAAAAGGUUUCGCCAAGUUGAUGGGACUUGGAGGCGUGAGCUCUACAAGGAUUCUGUAGGAGCCCAAAGUUCAUCUGUACCUGCUUCCAGAAAUCUUCAAGCAAUCCAAAAAUCACAUAUUAAGCAAAGCACUGUGGAUGUGAAGAAAUCAUCAGUUCCAGAUCUUCGUGAAAAGUUAUCUGGAGGCCAGCGCCCUCAACUCAGUAGUACAGUUCAGAUCCCAAAACCUGCAGCUGAUAUUGCUAAUAGUGCUAAACCUGUUCAAAAGAGACAGAUCCCUGCUGCUGCUGCUGUUGCUGCCCGUCCUGUCACUGAACAAGUAAAUGCACCAGCUGCACCAAAGCAAUCCCAUGAAAAGGCUGAUGCCUCACUUGACAGAUUGCUGAAGUCUCUUGAUCUGGAGAAGUAUUCCAUUAAUUUCCAGGCUGAAGAGGUUGAUAUGAAAGCAUUGGUUCACAUGAAUGAGGAAGAUAUGAAGUCAUUAGGAAUUCCAAUGGGCCCUCGGAAGAAGAUACUAUCAGCACUGGCUUCGAAGAGAAAGAAGUCCUCAAGAUCAUUACCGCCUACUAGCUGA